CCGCGACCCCAGGUCAG
This 17-nucleotide ribosomal RNA is filed under the name Valeriana officinalis (common valerian). RNAcentral describes it as "partial 26S ribosomal RNA". Lineage: Eukaryota; Viridiplantae; Streptophyta; Magnoliopsida; Dipsacales; Caprifoliaceae. RNAcentral also lists the same sequence under 4 other names. The record is from RNAcentral.